AUGGAUAAUCUGCUGCAUAAAUCUGUCUUCUCCUGUUUUAUAAAGCUUCCUAUCCAUGCAAUUUGGAAACUUGUAUCGACAGUGAAAGCCAAGAGGAUUCAAGAAAAGGUGGUCUUGCCUUGGAUUUUUCUCUGGAGAAUUCAAUUUGGAGAUGAGGUGAUUGCUUCAAUCUGCUAUCAGUUGAACAGCAUGGAUGGAAAGGAUGUGGAGAUGAAAUUUGCAACACAGGCUUUACAAAUGACUUGCCAUUUAAAGCAUCUAAAUGAGAAGCUCCAGUAUCAUCCCUCCCCUGUCCUGACUCCAGUCAUACAAGAACCCUGUAGAGGACUGUAAAAGCACAGUGAGUUUUUGACUUCCAGAUGAAAGACAACAAAAAUUGUGAUUAAAUCAAAUUAGUUUGUCUUACUAGAAACCAGUUUUUUUUCUUCUAUGAAAGCAAAUUUAUUCUCAGUGUAUUGAGGGCUGUUUAAGUUACACCUAAAGCAAAGCAAGCAAGCAGUGGAGAAGCCUGUUUUGACAGAAGGAUCAUAUAUUAACCCUUUUGGACCCAAACUGAACUGCUGUAGAAAGCUUUGUCCAGAUUAAAAUAUUAUCAAUGAUAUGGCUCAGGAAAAUACCUCUUGUUGUAAUGUAUAAAUAAAUUCUUAUGAGAUUAACA
Molecule: long non-coding RNA, 658 nt
Filed under: Cyanistes caeruleus (blue tit)
Lineage: Eukaryota; Metazoa; Chordata; Aves; Passeriformes; Paridae
Description: lncRNA (ENSCCEG00000007240.1)
Source: RNAcentral